ACGAUCGGACGGCUGCGGCAUGAGCCGAGGAAAGUCCGAACACCACAGGACAGGAUGCCGGCUAACUACCGGUGGAGGCGACUCCAAGGAAAGUGCAACAGAAAUAUACCGCCGGGCUUCAUCGUCCGGUAAGGGUGGAACGGCGAGGCAAGAGCUCACCGGCCCCACGGUAACGCGGGGCGCCAUGUAAACCCCAUCCGGUGCAAGAUCGAGGGAAACGGGUCGUCCGCCCUCCCUCCCAUAUCGCUGGAACCGUACGGUAACGUGCGGUCGAGACAGAUAGCCGUCCCAGACAGAAUUCGGCUUACAGAUCGUUC
RNAcentral lists this RNase P RNA (317 nucleotides) under Candidatus Protoclostridium stercorigallinarum. RNAcentral's name for it is "Bacterial RNase P class A". It matches the Rfam family "Bacterial RNase P class A". Rfam says of the family: Ribonuclease P (RNase P) is a ubiquitous endoribonuclease, found in archaea, bacteria and eukarya as well as chloroplasts and mitochondria. Its best characterised activity is the generation of mature 5'-ends of tRNAs by cleaving the 5'-leader elements of precursor-tRNAs. The record is from RNAcentral. Lineage: Bacteria; Bacillati; Bacillota; Clostridia.